AUGCAAGUUGUGCCAGGAACUUGGGCACAGAGUGGGAUCUGUCAAAUGCCGUUACACUCCUGAUAAGCCAAAGAGGAAGCGAGCAAGUCAGCCCCUUGUUGUUGAACAGUGUUGGCCAACAAAAAAAGCAAGAGUCAAUGGCGGUAGAAAGAAGAGAAGUGUGCCUGAGCCUAAGCAGACUGAAGAAAAUCUUGCUGCAGUCAACAUUCAGACUGAAGAAACUGCUCUCGAGGUUGAAACUGAACCUGAGCGUGUCGAGGUUCAGACUGAAGAAACCCAUGUUGAGGUACACACCGAAGAAACUGAACCUGAGCGUGUCGAGGUUCAGACUGAAGAAACCCAUGUUGGGGUACACAUCGAAGAAACUGAAACUGCUGUCAACAUUGAGACUGAAGACACUGAUCACGAGGGUGUUGGCGAGGUGUUGAAAAGACCAGUGAAGAAAACCAAGAUGAUCAGUGAACUUGUGUGUGUAGUAGAACCAAAAACAAGAAGUGCUAAGGCGAAGAAGGGCACGCGACGUGGUAGGAAGAGGUAGAACAGAGAACAGUUUGAAAAUUUGGGGCAUGUAAUAAUAUUUGUAACUUGGUGCGUACUGGUAGUCACUAUGUAUCCCCGUAUUUCUAUUCGAACUUGUUUGUUGGUACCUUGUCUAAACCAGCCAAAUAAAAUUAAAAUUAAAAUUCAAAUUUGGACUCAAAUUUGAAUUAGGGAUGGGGUAUUGAUGUUUUAAUGCUAUCUAAAGUACCUCAACUGAAAUAUGUUUGCUUGCUGAUCAUUCCGAGCCCUUUUGGUAAGUUGAACUCAUAGUCAUGAAAAGUGUGUCUCAAAUGACCUCCAAAGGUAGGAUAAACGGCCUCAUAUUUAAGCAAGUUUUUUUGGCACCUUGUCUAAACCAGCCAAAUAA
Molecule: non-coding RNA, 907 nt
Organism: Aegilops tauschii subsp. strangulata
Lineage: Eukaryota; Viridiplantae; Streptophyta; Magnoliopsida; Poales; Poaceae
Source: RefSeq, a predicted model, not a curated record